Molecule: long non-coding RNA, 423 nt
Organism: Globicephala melas (long-finned pilot whale)
Lineage: Eukaryota; Metazoa; Chordata; Mammalia; Artiodactyla; Delphinidae
Source: RefSeq, a predicted model, not a curated record
UGCAUAGGUGUAUUCCAUUUGUGAAAACUGAGCCAACUGUACAUUUAUGAGGGAAGCUUUUCUUUCUGCAUGUACAUUUUACUCCAAUAAAAAGGCCUCAAGAAUGCUCAGGGGAGGCAGUCGACCAGUUAUUCAACACCUACUGUGCACCUGCUAGAUUCUAGACACGGCCCUGGCACUGGGAUGUGGCAGCAGGCAACACAAACACAAAGCCGGCCCUUCUCGAACAUGAAGUUCUGGGGAGAAGAGGGACACAGCCACCACACGAGCAUUCAGCUGAAAUCAUGCUGCCUGGGAACAAUAAGGAGUCACAACCUAUUUCCAUGAUGAAAAGAACAAGGAGGGAAAAGGACCGAGAUUCAAGCAUUGAUCCUGUCACUACUCGUGUGAGAAGAAGCAGCUUGCCUGACCAUCAAUUUCCAG